Molecule: long non-coding RNA, 432 nt
Filed under: Malus domestica (apple)
Lineage: Eukaryota; Viridiplantae; Streptophyta; Magnoliopsida; Rosales; Rosaceae
Description: long non-coding RNA (MDOM_LNC010367)
Source: RNAcentral
UUUAUUUAUUUUUUUUUAAAGAAAACAAAACUAAUUAAGAAAACAAAAAGCAACAACAUGGAAACAAAUGAAACUCGUUAGUAGUUGAAGGUACAAAAAAAAAAAAUUUCAAUUUGGUCAUUUUUUAUACUCUUUACCCCCAAACUUAAACUGGACAUUGUCCCCAAUGUCAGAAAAUACUAUACUGCAAAUAAAAAUAAAAUAAAUAAAUAAUAAGAAGCAAAAUAAAACAAUGGGACUGAAAACUUCCCUAGUUUGCAGUAAAAUCAAGCGAUGACCCCCAAGCUAAAAUUCUGCAAUCAACUUCAAGGGUGGAAAUAACCAAAUUUUCCUGCAAAGAAAAGAAAUAAUUCAGUUAAGUAACACAAGAAAAUAUAUAUAAAAAAAAAAAAAAAAUUGCAAACGAAAAAUUGAAAAUCACGAUAAAAGACA